GUAAGCCCUAAACCCACACACGUGUCGACACGAUGACCUGGGUGCCCCGGAUUCUAGAAUCUGUGGGUUGGUCAUUGGGAUGCGUGGAGGCCCAACC
RNAcentral lists this small RNA (97 nucleotides) under Pseudomonas sp. LAIL14HWK12:I10. RNAcentral's name for it is "t44 RNA". It matches the Rfam family "t44 RNA", at positions 13 to 95 of the family's 95-position model. Rfam says of the family: This family consists of a number of bacterial RNA genes of between 135 and 170 bases in length. The t44 gene is found between the map and rpsB genes in all species in the full alignment apart from Shigella flexneri. The function of this RNA is unknown. RNAcentral also lists the same sequence under 2 other names. Lineage: Bacteria; Pseudomonadati; Pseudomonadota; Gammaproteobacteria; Pseudomonadales; Pseudomonadaceae. The record is from RNAcentral.